AGUGAACGCUGGCGGUAGGCCUAACACAUGCAAGUCGAACGGCAGCACAGUAAGAGCUUGCUCUUACGGGUGGCGAGUGGCGGACGGGUGAGGAAUACAUCGGAAUCUACUUUUUCGUGGGGGAUAACGUAGGGAAACUUACGCCAAUACCGCAUACGACCUACGGGUGAAAGCAGGGGAUCUUCGGACCUUGCGCGAUUGAAUGAGCCGAUGUCGGAUUAGCUAGUUGGCGGGGUAAAGGCCCACCAAGGCGACGAUCCGUAGCUGGUCUGAGAGGAUGAUCAGCCACACUGGAACUGAGACACCGUCCAGACUCCUACGGGAGGCAGCAGUGGGGAAUAUUGGACAAUGGGCGCAAGCCUGAUCCAGCCAUACCGCGUGUGUGAAGAAGGCCUUCGGGUUGUAAAGCCCUUUUGGUGGGAAAGAAAAGCAGCAGGUUAAUACCCCGCUGUUCUGACGGUACCCAAAGAAUAAGCACCGGCUAACUUCGUG
Molecule: ribosomal RNA, 492 nt
Filed under: uncultured bacterium
Lineage: Bacteria
Description: partial 16S ribosomal RNA
Rfam family: Bacterial small subunit ribosomal RNA
Source: RNAcentral